UAGUGCGAUCAUACCAAAACUAAUGCAUCGGAUCCUAUCAGAACUCCGCAGUUAAGCGUGCUUGGGCGAGAGUAGUACUAGGAUGGGAGACCCCUUUUUCUGCAAAAU
RNAcentral lists this ribosomal RNA (108 nucleotides) under Beta vulgaris subsp. vulgaris (sugar beet). The record is from RNAcentral. Lineage: Eukaryota; Viridiplantae; Streptophyta; Magnoliopsida; Caryophyllales; Amaranthaceae.